AUUGAACGCUGGCGGCAGGCCUAACACAUGCAAGUCGAGCGGAUGAAGGGAGCUGGCUCCUGGAUUCAGCGGCGGACGGGUGAGUAAUGCCUAGGAAUCUGCCUGGGAGUGGGGGAUAACGUCCGGAAACGGGCGCUAAUACCGCAUACGUCCUGAGGGAGAAAGUGGGGGAUCUUCGGACCUCACGCUAUCAGAUGAGCCUAGGUCGGAUUAGCUAGUUGGUGGGGUAAAGGCCUACCAAGGCGACGAUCCGUAACUGGUCUGAGAGGAUGAUCAGUCACACUGGAACUGAGACACGGUCCAGACUCCUACGGGAGGCAGCAGUGGGGAAUAUUGGACAAUGGGCGAAAGCCUGAUCCAGCCAUGCCGCGUGUGUGAAGAAGGUCUUCGGAUUGUAAAGCACUUUAAGUUGGGAGGAAGGGCAGUAAGUUAAUACCUUGCUGUUUUGACGUUACCAACAGAAUAAGCACCGGCUAACUUCGUG
This 484-nucleotide ribosomal RNA is filed under the name uncultured bacterium. RNAcentral describes it as "partial 16S ribosomal RNA". It matches the Rfam family "Bacterial small subunit ribosomal RNA", at positions 30 to 507 of the family's 1533-position model. The record is from RNAcentral.